AGGUGGGGGAGUUUUCCAUUUCCCUUUCAGCUUAUAUUAAAUUACUUUCCUUUCUUGUCAUAGGCAUAAUCCUUUGAUGAGAAAACCUUGACGGCCUUUCAGAAGAGGAAGAAAUCCCUCCACUGCAGAGUCACCAGAGACUGGCUAUUACUAAUUGAUUCUACAUGGAGAACACAUAGUGGUGACAGCCAUCAGUCUGAAACAGGCCCAUUUAUUAUUAGUUUUCACUAAGAAGCAUCCACAAACGGUCUGAGGCAAAGCAAAGCUGCUGAAAUGGGGAAUGGACUGUUGAUCUGCCUUUCCAGGUUUGGCCCACACAAAGCUUUCAGGAGGUAAAGAAGGGAUGAGUCCUAAACUGGGAAGAGGGAUUUUAUGGGACUGGUAG
This 385-nucleotide long non-coding RNA is filed under the name Parus major (Great Tit). Its description in RNAcentral is "lncRNA (ENSPMJG00000014575.1)". Lineage: Eukaryota; Metazoa; Chordata; Aves; Passeriformes; Paridae. The record is from RNAcentral.